GGUGGAGAUCUGCUCUCUGAGAGGACCUUGGAAAGGGGACAGAAGAACCUUUCAUCUCUUGCCGUUUCGUUCCUCCAGGCAGUGAACUUUUCUGCAUGGAGACGAACCGGCAGAGGCAUUUUGGAAUUUUAAUCUGACACACAUGCGUGCUGAACCUGGUGGAGGAGGAAGAGACGCAGGAAGUAGCAGGGAGUGGAUGAGAAGUGAGAAGCCGUUGCUAGGAGAUGCAUUGGGAUGGAUGGAUGGGCUCAUAGCGAACUUCCGGUUAUGGGGCUUGAGAGCCAGGCUCCCGAGGAGAAAGGAAAAAGAACAUGACUUGGGUUCUUCUCCGUGUGCCCUGGCUGUCCUGGAACUUGCUACGUAGAAUGGACCGGCCUUGAAAUCACCGAGCUCUCCCAGCUGGGUCCUGAGUGUUGCUAUUAAAGGUGUCCGGCAACAAA
Molecule: long non-coding RNA, 440 nt
Organism: Arvicola amphibius (Eurasian water vole)
Lineage: Eukaryota; Metazoa; Chordata; Mammalia; Rodentia; Cricetidae
Exons: 2
Source: RefSeq, a predicted model, not a curated record